AGAGUUUGAUCCUGGCUCAGAUUGAACGCUGGCGGCAGGCCUAACACAUGCAAGUCGAACGGUAACAGGAAGAAGCUUGCUCCUUUGCUGACGAGUGGCGGACGGGUGAGUAAUGUCUGGGAAACUGCCUGAUGGAGGGGGAUAACUACUGGAAACGGUAGCUAAUACCGCAUAACGUCGCAAGACCAAAGAGGGGGACCUUCGGGCCUCUUGCCAUCGGAUGUGCCCAGAUGGGAUUAGCUAGUAGGUGGGGUAACGGCUCACCUAGGCGACGAUCCCUAGCUGGUCUGAGAGGAUGACCAGCCACACUGGAACUGAGACACGGUCCAGACUCCUACGGGAGGCAGCAGUGGGGAAUAUUGCACAAUGGGCGCAAGCCUGAUGCAGCCAUGCCGCGUGUAUGAAGAAGGCCUUCGGGUUGUAAAGUACUUUCAGCGGGGAGGAAGGGAGUAAAGUUAAUACCUUUGCUCAUUGACGUUACCCGCAGAAGAAGCACCGGCUAACUCCGUGCCAGCAGCCGCGGUAAUACGGAGGGUGCAAGCGUUAAUCGGAAUUACUGGGCGUAAAGCGCACGCAGGCGGUUUGUUAAGUCAGAUGUGAAAUCCCCGGGCUCAACCUGGGAACUGCAUCUGAUACUGGCAAGCUUGAGUCUCGUAGAGGGGGGUAGAAUUCCAGUGUAGCGGUGAAAUGCGUAGAGAUCUGGAGGAUUACCGGUGGCGAAGCGCCCCUGGACGAGACUGACGCUCAGUGCGAAGCGUGGGGAGCAAACAGAUAGAUACCUGGUAGUCACGCGUAACGAUGUCGACUUGAGUUGUGCCCUUGAGCGUGGCUUCNGAGCUACGCGUAGUCGACGGCUGGGA
This 860-nucleotide ribosomal RNA is filed under the name uncultured bacterium. RNAcentral describes it as "bacterial SSU rRNA". It matches the Rfam family "Bacterial small subunit ribosomal RNA", at positions 9 to 873 of the family's 1533-position model. The record is from RNAcentral.